AUGAGGCGAAAGAAACGAGAGGCGAGAACGGAGAGCCUCUGGUCACAUCAAUUGCAAAUCCCACUUCCACACUUGAUUAGGUUCAGAAUUUGAAUCUCGCAUGUGAUCAAGUUGGAAAGAGGAUUUGCAAUCGAUGUGACCAGAGGCUCUCCGUUCUCGCCUCUCGUUUCUUUUGCCUCGUAA
Non-coding RNA from Paramuricea clavata, 183 nucleotides. Lineage: Eukaryota; Metazoa; Cnidaria; Anthozoa; Malacalcyonacea; Plexauridae. The record is from the annotation of a GenBank genome assembly.